UACGUAGGGUGCGAGCGUUAAUCGGAAUUACUGGGCGUAAAGCGUGCGCAGGCGGUUUUGUAAGACAGAGGUGAAAUCCCCGGGCUUAACCUGGGAACUGCCUUUGUGACUGCAAGGCUUGAGUGCGGCAGAGGGGGAUGGAAUUCCGCGUGUAGCAGUGAAAUGCGUAGAUAUGCGGAGGAACACCGAUGGCGAAGGCGGCGUUCUGGACUGCAACUGACACUGAGAGACGAAAGCCAGGGGAGCAAACGGG
RNAcentral lists this ribosomal RNA (253 nucleotides) under uncultured bacterium. RNAcentral describes it as "partial 16S ribosomal RNA". It matches the Rfam family "Bacterial small subunit ribosomal RNA", at positions 524 to 776 of the family's 1533-position model. The record is from RNAcentral.